UUUGAAAGUGACAUAUUCCAGUGAAUUCUCAUAUUAUUAUGUUGCCUCAUUACACAAUACUGCAUCUAAAAUAGCUUUCACCCUAGUCUAUUUGUUUUUAUGAUUCUCAAGAAAAGCUUCUACAACCUCAUCUUCCAGAUCAACCUUUUCAAUUUGGGACAAUGUUACCGGCUCCACUAAUUUCUUGUUAAUGCUUUGUCCAACUAUGUAACUACAGUAUGGACCUGUAAACUAACCCCAGUAGUGUUUUCUGUCUCUUACUAAUCAUCUGGAUCCCUUUUGUCUUCCUAAAAUAUAGUGUAUCCUGGAAUAUUUGUUUCCGUAAUGCUAAUUAAAUCGAAGCCAUUUAAUACUCCUUGUGCCACUAGAUCAUCUGUCUUACUGUAGCUGCUUUGCCCACAUAGAUAAAGACUAUUUAAUUUUGAUUUUUUUUUCUCUAAGCAGUUAUUCCCUGAAUGGAACUUGCUUGCUGAUGCCAAAUAAACUCUGCCUGUGUUUACUCAGAGUGCUACACUGUUCCUUUACCUUGACUUAUCUCAUUGGAUUUUAAAAUUUCCCUUCACCUGAAUCUCUGUUAGUUUAAUGUCUUGUUGACACCCAUAGUUAUACAGAGCACUUGUUGCAGCCUGGUUUAAGUUAAUCUCAUCCUGAUGGAAUAGGUCCCUCUUUAGUGAGUGCCCCAUCAUUCAAAAAUCUCUCUUUCACUAAUCUGCUUGACCUUGUGCCAGUUGACACAUUGCUCAGAUAAUAAUCCAGCCAUGAUUACCUUCAGUGAUCUGCAUUUCAAUUUCAGCAUUAAAUCCUCAAAGCCUCUCUGUAAAGCAUCAUUCCUGAUUCAAACUAUGUCAUUGAUAUCCAAAUGGACCAGAACAACUGAAUGCACCCCUCCAAGUCUGAGGAGAUGUCUUUCCCCUAUGAGUAUUACAUUCCUUCUCAUACUUUCAAGGACGAAAGUACGCAAUAUACUUUGUACUUUGGUUAUCCAAGUGAACUUACUGAUGGAGGCCAGUAGUUUGCAGUUAGGAACAGGGACUCUGGUAAAUUGAACUCAUUCCUUGGUCAGAGUUUGCUCAGAUAAGUUAUAGGGACCAACUACAAUCCUGCCAGAAAAUUGUAAUGAGAAGUGCUUUGUUUCAUUUACCAGCUAAUGCAGAUCUAUUGCCAGCCACUGUGACUGGAUCAAAUUUCGCAAUGUCUCAGCCAUUUCUGAGUUUUGUGAUAUCAUGAAAACAACUCUGCCGCCUUUUGGGUUGUUUUUUGUUUUGUUGCAGAAGACCCGAUUCUGAUAGUCUCUUAUAGACAAUGACAACUAAAUCAAAAGCCCAAUUAUAGAUUUUGUGAUCUGGAUUGAGAUUUCUUCGUGUAAAUCCAGGUAUUAGUGUCAGCAGACUAUCAAAAUUAUUCUUUCCUAUCUACGGUAUAUAGCGUUUUUGGCAAAAUAAACCAGAACUGUUUAAUGGCACCCAAUUACUUUCUCCUCUCUGUCUUUGCAGAUGGAUCUCUGGUGCUGUUCUCCCUAACUUCACACAAUGGCUGGGUAACAGCAGUCAAAUGGUCACCUACCCAUGAGAAUCAGUUGAUUUCAGGCUCUUUUGACAAAUUGGUCAAGCUCUGGGAUGUACGAAGUUGCAAGGCUCCACUUUAUGAUUUGAAUGCCCAUGAAGACAGAGUACUCUGUGUAGACUGGACAGAGAAUGGGUUGCUGUUAAGUGGUGGAGCAGACAACAAAUUAUUCUCAUUUAGAUAUUUGGCUCCUACUUCUGGGGAUGGCGCUUGAACAAGAAUACCAAAUGAUGAAGGACCGCACCCCAUCAGAGGACACCAUCACACUCUCUCAUCUUGUGUUGUUCUUAUAACACCUUGAAUAAGAUCUGUUUGCUUGCCAUGAUGGUUGAGUUUUGAUCUCAUUCUGUCAAUGUAAUAAUGCCUGAUGGUUCUUACGUUAAGAUAAUUGGCACUGGGAUUUAAACUUGGAAAGGUGGUCCACUGAUGUAGCUGCUGUUACUAUUUUCAGGCAUUUGUAAUAAUAUUGCACCUACCUUAGUUUUUUUUUUAUAAGGUCUUGGAGUUUUGUACUUUAUUUGCAGGAAGUUCAACAUUUUGUCAGAUCGUAUCUACAAUGUGGUGAUAUCACCCUUAGCUCCUGCAUUACACCGAUCACAAUUUGAGAAUUUAGGAGGUGAGUGCAGACUUACACUACCAGACUGAAAACCUGUGUGGACAAUGAGUUGAAAGUGGAUUGGAUUUUCUAACCUUAUCAUCUCAUAGUAACAUGUUUAUUUUCCUAGAAUUUCUUACUGUUAAUUAAUCCAACCUGAUUUUUUUCUUUUCAUAUUUCAUGCAAAAUGAUCAAUUUGCAUAAAAUUCUGCUAAGCAAAUUCUAAACUGUUCGCCUAGUCUCUGAAAAAACUUUACAUAGAAUAGACAUGAGUCAGAAUUUAUGCAUCAUUUCAAGCUUUCCCUUCCUCAUCUUUAUUUAUUUCCAUGUUUCAAUGUUCUUACCAUUUCAAGGACAAUUAAGACGCGAUAAAUGCUGACUGUACUAGUGAUAUAUAUUACUGAACAAAUAAAGUACAUUUCUCAAGUU
Long non-coding RNA from Rhincodon typus (whale shark), 2587 nucleotides. RefSeq lists it as uncharacterized. Lineage: Eukaryota; Metazoa; Chordata; Chondrichthyes; Orectolobiformes; Rhincodontidae. The record is from RefSeq and is a predicted model, not a curated record. The transcript is spliced from 3 exons.